CCGAUCCUUCCCACCGCCUUCAAAGAUCUGUAUCCGUCUUCUACCUUCCGGAUCUUUCCCCUUGCGUCCUUAUCUUCGAAAUUUCAGAUGAGCAUCCAAACCUUCCGUUCUCUUUCUUCCUUCGGAGGUGCUAGAGAAGGUUUCGUCUGGUGUGUCUUCUUCAACCUCCUGACCCCAGCCCUCCACGAUUAGGGGCAGUGGUUCGGUUUAGAAUCUAUAUGGUAGGUUUAUUCCACUCCCCUAAGUCGAUUUUCGGACUCCAUCACUGCCAUCAGCCACAGCCAUAGAUGGUUUGUUCCACUCCCCAAAGUCGAUUUUCGGACUCCAUCACUGCCAUCUUCUCAUCUUCGACACCGUCUUCAGGGAAGAGACGAAGGGGUAGACCUCCCGGUUGUGGAAAUAAAUAACAGCUUGAUGCUUCAUGUAGUUGGUAUAUGCUUAUAUACAUACCCAUUCAGAUCAUACUCAUACGUAGAUUCAAUUAUUUAUUCAUUGUUUUCAUCAACACUUUAUUCACGUUUUGCAUAUUAUAUUACCCGUUCAGAUCCUUAUUUUAUUAGCUUUGUGAUUAAGUUGAUAGAUUCUGAUGAAAUCAUGAAUGUGCACAUAUUAAAAUAACAUCAGAGGAUGAUGCUAGACUGUAUAUUUCACAUUUUCUUUGUGUUUUUCUUCUAUAUUCUUCUUUAGCCUAAAUGGGGUUUUCUUCUAUGUAUCUAAUUUUCACAGGAAUUUGAAACUAAUAUUCAUGCACACCACCUGCUCGAUAAAAUGCCUGAACCGAAUCUUAUUAUUUUUUCGUUUUUAAAAGCCCAUAAAAUUUUCCACGCCUGCUUCUUAGUUGCUGCAUAUCUCUAAAACGCUAAUGUUCCAGCCUGUAUAAUUUAUUAAAGAAUUUAAUACUUUUUUCAAAAUGACUUGAUUAUUUUGCAAAAUGACAUCAUAAUUUGGUCAAAAAAAGAGAACAAUUGUACAAUAAAAUUGUUAGAAAUGUUUUUUUCCUUCAAAUUCUUUUUGAGGUGAACAUAUUUAUUAUUAGUACUUCAGGUAUAUGCUAUCAUUUUCAGUUGGUUCUGGCCUUUUUCCUUCUCUGUUAUCUCCAAAGAUUUUUUUCCUCGAGCUUUAGAGCAAAAGCAAUUGCCUUAUCACCUAAAAUGCAUUGGGUAAGUUUAUGUCAUUUUUAUUCUUUAGAAAUAUGAUCAUUUUUACUAACAAAUGGUGAUAUUUUUAAUGAUCAGAUAUCAAACAUUGUAGUCGGGUUGUAUUUCUUGAGUGUGGUGACUAAAUUUGGGAUAAGAAAAGUGUACAUGGGAUAUGUGAGACUCAUAAGAAGAUAUGAAUUAGAUUUUAUUACCUUCUAUUUGCUGAAACAUAUUGUCUACUUUGUUUUCUGCUUAAUAAGCUUGAAAUUUUGGCAUUGCAGUUCACCUCCAAUGUUGUCAUACUAAAAAUUAUAAUGUUUAUGAUAUGUUACCAUAUUGGCUACAGAACCCAAUUUCAUGAGGCAUCGAUUCAUCUAUUUUCUUCUCCUAUACUCCUAAUUUCACCAGGUUUGUCACAAAAAACUACUGGAAAUUGUCACCAUUGGAAGUAUCUAUUUGUCAGUCCUUAUUAUUUAGUAUUUAAUUUAAUUUUUAUGUUAUUUAUGAAUUAAGAUUAUACAGUUAUAAUUGUUUUAAAAAAAAAAGAAUAGAUAAUUUGUUUCAUUUUUGUAUGGAGUUUUUUUUUUUUUUUCAGAUCUUCAUCUUAUAAAACAGCCGCUAUAUGGUUCUUCAAGGUAUGAGAACCCCAAGAUUGUUCUAUAAAACAAUUUAAUAAUCGUUAUUUUCUUCUUCUCUUCAUUACUAGCAAGGAAAGGACAUACUUUGCAGCCAUUAUGACAAAGAUUGUUCUAUAAACAGUUGUUUAACCUUCUUUGAAGGUCACCAAAUGGAUAAAGAUAUGAUUCGUUUGAACUUUCAGGACAGAAGCAGCAACAAACAUUCCAAGCCAAAGAAGGUUGAAGGCAUGAACAGAAAUAAGAUUUUAGUUAUCCCUUAAGUUGUGAAAUGCAUUACUAAUAUCGGACACUUUUCCAAACCUACACCAUCUCCCUCUUCUAUCUCUUUUGUUUUUUUUUUUUAAUCUUUUUGGUUAUUUGUUUCUCAUAUUCCCUGCCCUAAUCUUGCAAUUUUAUAAAAAUUGAUAGCCCUCUUGCGGUACAAAUAUGCCAAAAUACACGUCAAAUCGACCAGGUAAAUCCCACCGACACCGACUUCCAAAAUUGCAGCUUUAGGUUAGACUUCCAAACCAGAGGUGACAUACUAUUAUUUUUAUGUCAUUAUUUUGCUUUAUCUGUAACAUUUUUCAGAUGUAUUUUGAAGCACCCUACAAAUAUGGCUACUCCAUUCAACACAACAGUUGUGGAAAGGUUUUUUUUUUUACUCUAGGACUACGAAUCGCUAGACUUUCAACAAUUGAUUCGACACAACGAUAGUAUCAAGGGAUAGAAAAAGGACAAGCAGGUCGCAGGAUGGAGAUAUUAUAAAUAUUAAUGUCACCGUUUACUUAGAUGUUACUGAACAAUGCUUAGAGAGAGGUAUUUCUGUUUGCAAAGAUGUUUCUAUAUUGAUGACACGUGUGCGUUGCUAUUACAACAGAUUUCGCCACAUGGGCAACAACAGAUAUUGUUCGAUGCCUAAUCUUCAACUAAGAAUCAGGGCUUAUGGAUCUAAGAAAGCCGACAAUUGAACUUAUUAACAUACUGUAACACACUAAUCAACAAAUUGAUUUUUUUUGUUUGCUGUGGUGACUUUGCUUUUAUUAGAUACGUGUGUUGUCAUUUUAUCAAAUGUUUUUUGAGCUAGCCAAUGUUAUACUUAGACAACACUUAAUGAGGAAAAAACCAUGAAGUAUUUGAUUUGUGGAA
Molecule: non-coding RNA, 2905 nt
Organism: Lactuca sativa (garden lettuce)
Lineage: Eukaryota; Viridiplantae; Streptophyta; Magnoliopsida; Asterales; Asteraceae
Source: RefSeq, a predicted model, not a curated record